This is a long non-coding RNA of Alligator sinensis (Chinese alligator), 186 nucleotides long. RefSeq lists it as uncharacterized. NCBI's taxonomy places the organism in Eukaryota, Metazoa, Chordata, Crocodylia, Alligatoridae. The record is from RefSeq and is a predicted model, not a curated record. The transcript has 3 exons.
GGAGCGGAGCUGUGCCCACAGAGGGUGAAGCAGGAGGAACAGGAUGCUGCACGGUGUGUUGGUGUUGGAUGGGCAGAUCCUGAAGUUGGAUGUCUGCCUUCUGUAUGGGAAAGGCCUGGCAAGCAAGGCUGCACAGGGGCUGAAGGAGCACUGUGAUGCCAGGUGUGGGUCCUGGUGUAGUUGGAG